CAGUAGCCACGGUAAUACGGAGGAUCCGAGCGUUAUCCGGAAUUAUUGGGUUUAAAGGGUGCGUAGGCAGAUAGAUAAGUCAGUGGUGAAAGACGGUGGCUCAACCAUCGCAGUGCCGUUGAUACUGUUUAUCUUGAAUAUGGAUGAGGUAGGCGGAAUGUGGCAAGUAGCGGUGAAAUGCAUAGAUAUGCCACAGAACACCGAUUGCGAAGGCAGCUUACCAAGGCAAAAUUGACGCUGAGGCACGAAAGCGUGGGGAUCGAACAGGAUUAGAUACCCCAGUAGUCCCUGUCUCUUAUAC
RNAcentral lists this ribosomal RNA (301 nucleotides) under uncultured bacterium. RNAcentral describes it as "partial 16S ribosomal RNA". It matches the Rfam family "Bacterial small subunit ribosomal RNA", at positions 509 to 807 of the family's 1533-position model. The record is from RNAcentral.